CGGGAAACCGUGAUAAGGGAACCCCGAGUGCCCGUAAAUUCGGGCUGUCCAUCAGCGUAAAUAACUGGUGAAGAAAGGGCCGGGCAAGACCGGUGCCAGCCGCCGCGGUAAUACCGGCGGCUCGAGUGGUGGCCACUAUUAUUGGGCUUAAAGCGUCCGUAGCUUGGUUGUUAAGUCUCUUGGGAAAUCUACCGGCUCAACCGGUAGGCGUUCAGGAGAUACUGGCAAUCUAGGGACCGGGAGAGGUGAGAGGUACUCCAGGGGUAGGAGUGAAAUCCUGUAAUCCUUGGGGGACCACCUGUGGCGAAGGCGUCUCACUAGAACGGCUCCGACAGUGAGGGACGAAAGCUGGGGGAGCAAACCGGAUUAGAUACCCGGGUAGUCCCAGCUGUAAACGAUGCGCGUUAGGUGUAUCGGUGACCACGAGUCACCGAGGUGCCGAAGGGAAACCGUGAAACGUGCCGCCUGGGAAGUACGGUCGCAAGGCUGAAACUUAAAGGAAUUGGCGGGGGAGCACCACAACAGGUGGAGCCUGCGGUUUAAUCGGACUCAACGCCGGAAAGCUCACCGGAUAAGACAGCGGAAUGAUAGCCGGGCUGAAGACUCUGCUUGACUAGCUGAGAGGAGGUGCAUGGCC
RNAcentral lists this ribosomal RNA (637 nucleotides) under uncultured Methanomicrobiales archaeon. RNAcentral's name for it is "bacterial SSU rRNA". It matches the Rfam family "Archaeal small subunit ribosomal RNA", at positions 358 to 999 of the family's 1478-position model. The record is from RNAcentral. Lineage: Archaea; Methanobacteriati; Methanobacteriota; Methanomicrobia; Methanomicrobiales.